UGGGGAAUUUUGGACAAUGGGCGCAAGCCUGAUCCAGCCAUGCCGCGUGUCUGAAGAAGGCCUUCGGGUUGUAAAGGACUUUUGUCAGGGAAGAAAAGGAUAGGGUUAAUACCCCUGUCUGAUGACGGUACCUGAAGAAUAAGCACCGGCUAACUACGUGCCAGCAGCCGCGGUAAUACGUAGGGUGCGAGCGUUAAUCGGAAUUACUGGGCGUAAAGCGGGCGCAGACGGUUACUUAAGCAGGAUGUGAAAUCCCCGGGCUCAACCUGGGAACUGCGUUCUGAACUGGGUGACUAGAGUGUGUCAGAGGGAGGUAGAAUUCCACGUGUAGCAGUGAAAUGCGUAGAGAUGUGGAGGAAUACCGAUGGCCAAGGCAGCCUCCUGGGAUAACACUGACGUUCAUGCCCGAAAGCGUGGGUAGCAAACAGGAUUAGAUACCCUGGUGGUCCACGCCCUAAACGAUGUCGAUUAGCUGUUGGGCAGCUUGACUGCUUAGUAGCGAAGCUAACGCGUGAAAUCGACCGCCUGGGGAGUACGGUCGCAAGAUUA
This 549-nucleotide ribosomal RNA is filed under the name uncultured bacterium. Its description in RNAcentral is "bacterial SSU rRNA". It matches the Rfam family "Bacterial small subunit ribosomal RNA", at positions 355 to 896 of the family's 1533-position model. The record is from RNAcentral.